RNAcentral lists this ribosomal RNA (360 nucleotides) under uncultured bacterium. RNAcentral describes it as "bacterial SSU rRNA". It matches the Rfam family "Bacterial small subunit ribosomal RNA", at positions 29 to 418 of the family's 1533-position model. The record is from RNAcentral.
AACGAACGCUGGCGGCAGGCCUAACACAUGCAAGUCGAACGCUCCGCAAGGGGAGUGGCGCACGGGUGAGUAACACGUGGGAACCUACCUUCUGGUACGGAACAACCAAGGGGAACUCUGGCUGAUACCGUAUACGACCUCCGGGUGAAAGAUUGAUCGCCGGAAGAGGGGCCCGCGUCCGAUUAGGUAGUUGGUGAGGUAACGGCUCACCAAGCCUGCGAUCGGUAGCUGGUCUGAGAGGANGACCAGCCACACUGGGACUGAGACACGGCCCAGACUCCUACGGGAGGCAGCAGUGGGGAAUAUUGGACAAUGGGCGCAAGCCUGAUCCAGCCAUGCCGCGUGAGUGAUGAAGGCCUU